UACGUAGGUGGCAAGCGUUGUCCGGAAUUAUUGGGCGUAAAGCGCGCGCAGGCGGUCCUUUAAGUCUGAUGUGAAAGCCCACGGCUUAACCGUGGAGGGUCAUUGGAAACUGGGGGACUUGAGUACAGAAGAGGAGAGUGGAAUUCCACGUGUAGCGGUGAAAUGCGUAGAGAUGUGGAGGAACACCAGUGGCGAAGGCGACUCUCUGGUCUGUAACUGACGCUGAGGCGCGAAAGCGUGGGUAGCGAACAGG
RNAcentral lists this ribosomal RNA (253 nucleotides) under uncultured bacterium. RNAcentral's name for it is "partial 16S ribosomal RNA". It matches the Rfam family "Bacterial small subunit ribosomal RNA", at positions 524 to 776 of the family's 1533-position model. The record is from RNAcentral.